GGGUCAAAAAAAGGACUUUUUGUAAACAAAAUAUCCAACAUUACCUGAAGCCGUAGGUGAACGAACAGAAAUAUCUAGAAAUGUUAUACAGAAGGCAAUAUCCAACGUUGAAAAACAUGAAGAUACAGCGAGAAGCUUGUACCAGUUAGUAUAUUUCGAACACAAUUAAAAAAUUUUUUUUAAACACCAGAAGAAUUGUUCAUCGUCCUAUGCCGUUCCAGAAAAUUUAAAUGGCACAAGAAGACUUUAAUAUUGCGGCUUCCCUUCCAUCAAAAUAAAGGACUUAUUUUGGUGUGUCCACUUCUCAUCCUUCGACGUAACGAGCUGAUGAGUCAUUUAUGUCCUCUGCCUAAUCUCAGCUUAUCUUUGGACUCGAGGAUUUUCCGUAACCUGAGCCAGAAGGUAGACAAUGUGAAGAAGGAAGAAUAUGAACGAAUUUUCAUUGUAAGGUAUAUGUACUUAAACUGGGCAGGAUUCAUGAUGUCAGUAUAACGAGAUCAUUAAAAUGAAGGAUACGAAAAUUGGGAAUUUAUAAGGAGUGAUUUAAUAUUAUCACAUUCUUUGUCU
Molecule: long non-coding RNA, 567 nt
Organism: Limulus polyphemus (Atlantic horseshoe crab)
Lineage: Eukaryota; Metazoa; Arthropoda; Merostomata; Xiphosura; Limulidae
Exons: 3
Source: RefSeq, a predicted model, not a curated record